AUGAAUAGUAUCUCUAUCUAUUAUCUGGCACAUAUCAAGUUAGCAAUGAAUAGUAUAUUGGCAUAUGUUGUUCAUCUUGGAUGGGAAAGAAAUAGUAAAGCAAUCAUCAUCUGUCUUUUUAUUAAAUUAAAGCUAUCAUCAGCCUGCUAUCAUUAUUUUUGGAUCCAUCCACUGGUUGUUACCAUCACUCUAGAUUUCUGCAUGCUCUCCUUACAUAAUCUCAUUAUAUUUUUUGUAUGCAUGUCAGAUAUUUUACACAGUUGUGCUGAACAUGUAGAGAAAAAGAGAAGAGUUUUGCGUGGCAAUACGAUGUCAUGCAAACAUCGCUCCAUGGUGGGUUCAAUGGCAAACCCUCCCCCCUCCCCAGAUUGUAAUCCAAAGGAAUAUAUCUAUUCUGAGGCAGAUUCAGACGUUGACCACUCCUAUUUAACCCCAAGGUGUUUGCUCUAA
This 450-nucleotide ribosomal RNA is filed under the name Triticum aestivum (bread wheat). Its description in RNAcentral is "partial small subunit ribosomal RNA". The record is from RNAcentral. Lineage: Eukaryota; Viridiplantae; Streptophyta; Magnoliopsida; Poales; Poaceae.